CGUCCUCGAUCGCCAGACCUC
RNAcentral lists this microRNA (21 nucleotides) under Ananas comosus (pineapple). RNAcentral describes it as "microRNA s1325_c042b". The record is from RNAcentral. Lineage: Eukaryota; Viridiplantae; Streptophyta; Magnoliopsida; Poales; Bromeliaceae.